UACGGAGGGUGCGAGCGUUAAUCGGAAUUACUGGGCGUAAAGGGUGCUUAGGUGGUUUAUUAAGUUAUCUGUGAAAUCCCUGGGCUUAACCUGGGCAGGUCAGAUAAGACUGGUAGACUCGAGUAUGGGAGAGGGUAGUGGAAUUUCCGGUGUAGCGGUGAAAUGCGUAGAGAUCGGAAGGAACACCAGUGGCGAAGGCGGCUACCUGGCCUAAUACUGACACUGAGGCACGAAAGCGUGGGGAGCAAACAGGAUUAGAUACCCUGGUAGUCCACGCUGUAAACGAUGUCAACUAGCUGUUGGUCACAUGAAUGUGAUUAGUGGCGAAGCUAACGCGAUAAGUUGACCGCCUGGGGAGUACGAUCGCAAGAUUA
RNAcentral lists this ribosomal RNA (374 nucleotides) under uncultured prokaryote. Its description in RNAcentral is "bacterial SSU rRNA". It matches the Rfam family "Bacterial small subunit ribosomal RNA", at positions 524 to 896 of the family's 1533-position model. The record is from RNAcentral.